RNAcentral lists this ribosomal RNA (499 nucleotides) under uncultured bacterium. RNAcentral's name for it is "partial 16S ribosomal RNA". It matches the Rfam family "Bacterial small subunit ribosomal RNA", at positions 28 to 507 of the family's 1533-position model. The record is from RNAcentral.
GACGAACGCUGGCGGCGUGCUUAACACAUGCAAGUCGAACGGGCCCGCUCUCUUUUUUGGGGGUGGGUUGAGUGGCGAACGGGUGAUUAUCACGUGAGUAACCUGCCCCCUGCUCCUGGAUAACUGCUUGAAAGGGCGGCUAAUACGGGGUGUGCCGGCUGGUCCGCAUGGGCCUGGUCGGGAUAGUUUCAUCUUCGGGUGUUUCGGUGGGGGAUGGGCUCGCGGCCUAUCAGCUUGUUGGUGGGGUGAUGGCCCACCAAGGCGGUGACGGGUAGCCGGCCUGAGAGGGUGGGCGGCCACACUGGGACUGAGACACGGCCCAGACUCCUGCGGGAGGCAGCAGUGGGGGGUAUUGCACAAUGGGCGGAAGCCUGAUGCAGCGACGUCGCGUGAGGGAUGGAGGCCUUCGGGUUGUGAACCUCUUUCUCCGGUGGUGAAGGCCCUGUCCGUUGCGGCGGGGUUGACGGUAGCCGGGUAUGAAGCGCCGGCUAACUACGUG